Long non-coding RNA from Mytilus californianus (California mussel), 2457 nucleotides. RefSeq lists it as uncharacterized. The record is from RefSeq and is a predicted model, not a curated record. NCBI's taxonomy places the organism in Eukaryota, Metazoa, Mollusca, Bivalvia, Mytilida, Mytilidae. The transcript is spliced from 4 exons.
AGAAAAAUAAUGAGGAGCGUCACGGGGUAUUACUAUAUAGGCCUUGUAGAGGAGAAACAGGCGCAUCUUUUGCGCAAGGUAUUGAAGGGCGCUAUGUUCAAAAAUCUGAAACUAGAGCUCAAAAUUUGAAAAAAAAUUUCUUAAAAACAGGGGGGUUGGCCUAUUCCAUGGCUUCCACAGAAAAAUAAUGAGGGAUGUCACGGGGUAUGACUAUAUAGGUCUUGUAGAGGAGAAACAGGCGCAUUUUUUGCGCAAGGUAUCGAAGGGCGCUAUGUUCAAAAAUCUGAAACUAGAGCUCAAAAUUUGAAAAAAAAUUGUUAAAAACAGGGGGAAUGGCCUAUUCCAUGGGUUCUAGAGAAAAAUAAUGAGGGGUGUCACGGGGUAUGACUAUAUAGGUCUUGUAGAAGAGAAACAAGCGCAUCUUUUGCGCAAGGUAACGAAGGGCGCUUUGUUCAAAAAUCUGAAACUAGAGCUCAAAAUUUGAAAAAAAAAAAUUAAAAACAGGGGGUUGGCCUAUUCCAUGGCGUCUAGAGAAAAAUAAUGAAGGAUGUCACGGGGUAUGACAAUAUAGGUCUUGUAGAGGAGAAACAGGCGCAUCUCUUGCGCAAGGUAUCGAAGGGCGCUAUGUUCAAAAAUCUGAAACUAGAGCUCAAAAUUUGAAAAAAAAUUGUUAAAAACAGGGGGGUUGGCCUAUUCCGUGGUUUCUUGAGAAAAAUAAUGAGGGGUCCAUGGUUUCUAGAGAAAAAUAAUGAGGGGUAUCACGGGGUAUGUCUAUAUAGGUCUUGUAGAGGAGAAACAGGCGCAUCUUUUGCGCAAGGUAUCGAAGGGCGCUAUGUUCAAAAAUCUGAAACUAGAGCUCAAAAUUUGAAAUUUUUUUGUUAAAAACAGGGGAAAUGGCCUAUUCCAUGGCUUCUAGAGAAAAAUAAUGAGGGGUGUCACGGGGUAUGACUAUAUAGGUCUUGUAGAGGAGAAACAGGCGCAUCUUUUGCGCAAGGUAUCGAAGGGCGCUAUGUUCAAAAAUCUGAAACUAGAGCUAAAAAUUUGAAAAAAAUUGUUAAAAACAGGGGGGUUGGCCUAGUCCAUGGCUUCUAGAGAAAAAUAAUGAGGGGUGUCACGGAGUAUGACUAUAUAGGUCUUGUAGAAGAGAAACAAGCGCAUCUUUUGCGCAAGGUAACGAAGGGCGCUUUGUUCAAAAAUCUGAAACUAGAGCUCAAAAUUUGAAAAAAAAAAAUUAAAAACAGGGGGUUGGCCUAUUCCAUGGCGUCUAGAGAAAAAUAAUGAAGGAUGUCACGGGGUAUGACAAUAUAGGUCUUGUAGAGGAGAAACAGGCGCAUCUCUUGCGCAAGGUAUCGAAGGGCGCUAUGUUCAAAAAUCUGAAACUAGAGCUCAAAAUUUGAAAAAAAAUUGUUAAAAACAGGGGGGUUGGCCUAUUCCGUGGUUUCUUGAGAAAAAUAAUGAGGGGUCCAUGGUUUCUAGAGAAAAAUAAUGAGGGGUAUCACGGGGUAUGUCUAUAUAGGUCUUGUAGAGGAGAAACAGGCGCAUCUUUUGCGCAAGGUAUCGAAGGGCGCUAUGUUCAAAAAUCUGAAACUAGAGCUCAAAAUUUGAAAAAAAAAAUUGUUAAAAACAGGGGGUUGGCCUAUUCAAUGCUUCUAGGGAAAAAUAAUGAGGGGUGUCACGGGGUAUGACUAUAUAGGUCUUGUAGAGGAGAAACAGGCGCAUCUCUUGCGCAAGGUAUCGAAGAGCGCUAUGUUCAAAAAUCUGAAACUAGAGCUCAAAAUUUGAAAAAAAUUGUUAAAAACAGGGGGGUUGGCCUAUUCCAUGGUUUCUACAGAAAAAUAAUGAGGGGUGUCACGGGGUAUGUCUAUAUAGGUCUUGUAGAGGAGAAACAGGCGCAUCUUUUGCGCAAGGUAUCGAAGGGCGCUAUGUUCAAAAAUUUGAAACUAGAGCUCAAAAUUUGAAAAAAAGUGUUAAAAACAGGGGGGUUGGCCUAUUCCAUGGCUUCUAGAGAAAAAUAAUGAGGGGUGUCACGGGGUAUGACUAUAUAGGUCUUGUAGAAGAGAAACAGGCGCAUCUUUUGCGCAAGGUAUCGAAGGGCGCUAUGUUCAAAAAUCUGAAACUAGAGCUCAAAAUUUGAAAAAAAAAUAUUAAAAACAGGGGGGUUGGCCUAUUCCAUGGCUUCUACAGAAAAAUAAUGAGGGGUGUCACGGGGUAUGACAAUAUAGGUCUUGUAGAAGAGAAACAGGCGCAUCUCUUGCGCAAGGUUUUGAAGGGCGCUAUGUUAAAAAAUCUGAAACAAGAGCUCAAAAUUUCAAAAAAAUUGUUAAAAACAGGGGGUUGGCCUAUUCCUUGGUUUCUAGAGAAAAAUAAUGAGGGGUCCUUGGUUUCUAGAGAAAAAUAAUGAGGGGUGUCACGGGGUAUGUCUAUAUAGGUCUUGUAGAGGAGAAACAGGUUCAUCUU